GUGUGACACAGACAUCAUUGCAGUAAUUUCCUAUUGGAUGAGAGAGAUUUUCUAUAUUUCUUUCAAUAUUGAAAGUGAGGCUGAUAGCUUUUUUCUUUGUUCAUCAUACACACAAUUGGGUGUGUGUGUGUGGAGGACAUAGAGUUGUAACUAGCACACACCAGCAUCUGGCUAACAUCUCACCUCCCACUACAUACAGCAACUGUCACACUAUUAUAUCAGCAGUUACACAGGAACAGCAGCAGCAGCAGCAGUAACACAGGAACACUACUACAACAGCAGCAGUACCACUAUAAUACCACUACAGCAGUAGCAGCAGCAGUUAGAGUGGAACACUACAGCAGGAUACACAUCAUCCAUCACACACAACUACAGUGAAGGAUUAAACAAUGCAGCAAUUUCUCCUGCUAAAGUGUGAUGAAGAAUUCCAGACAUGACAGCAUAUAUUGGUCUACUGUGUCUUCUACAUUUACUGAUCACCCUUGUACUGUCCAUAGAUAUUAUAUACCAUGUCAAUGAAGAAGGCAGUCCUCACACCUAUAUUGGAGACAUUGCUGUUGACUCCAACUUAUCACACCCUCUCACACAUCAACAACACACUCUCAUUACAUUUACACAACUACAAAGGACAGUCGAGAGUGGUUCUCACUUAUUUAAUGUCACCAACUCAGGAAAACUAUACACUACUCAAACACUGGAUGCUGAGUCUCUGUGUACAUACAACAAGGAAUGUUCCAGAAUAGUUAAAGUAGCAGUGAGGAAAG
Molecule: long non-coding RNA, 764 nt
Organism: Octopus sinensis (East Asian common octopus)
Lineage: Eukaryota; Metazoa; Mollusca; Cephalopoda; Octopoda; Octopodidae
Exons: 2
Source: RefSeq, a predicted model, not a curated record